RNAcentral lists this ribosomal RNA (506 nucleotides) under uncultured bacterium. RNAcentral's name for it is "partial 16S ribosomal RNA". It matches the Rfam family "Bacterial small subunit ribosomal RNA", at positions 29 to 523 of the family's 1533-position model. The record is from RNAcentral.
AGUGAACGCUGGUGGUAGGCCUAACACAUGCAGGUCGAACGGCAGCACAGGAGAGCUUGCUCUCUGGGUGGCGAGUGGCGGACGGGUGAGGAAUACAUCGGAAUCUACUUUUUCGUGGGGGAUAACGUAGGGAAACUUACGCUAAUACCGCAUACGACCUACGGGUGAAAGCAGGGGACCUUCGGGCCUUGCGCGAUUGAAUGAGCCGAUGUCGGAUUAGCUAGUUGGCGGGGUAAAGGCCCACCAAGGCGACGAUCCGUAGCUGGUCUGAGAGGAUGAUCAGCCACACUGGAACUGAGACACGGUCCAGACUCCUACGGGAGGCAGCAGUGGGGAAUAUUGGACAAUGGGCGCAAGCCUGAUCCAGCCAUACCGCGUGGGUGAAGAAGGCCUUCGGGUUGUAAAGCCCUUUUGUUGGGAAAGAAAUCCAGCUGGCUAAUACCCGGUUGGGAUGACGGUACCCAAAGAAUAAGCACCGGCUAACUUCGUGCCAGCAGCCGCCGUAA